Molecule: transfer RNA, 75 nt
Filed under: Candidatus Endomicrobium macrotermitis
Lineage: Bacteria; Pseudomonadati; Elusimicrobiota; Endomicrobiia; Endomicrobiales; Endomicrobiaceae
Also listed under: 1 other name
Description: tRNA-Gly
Rfam family: tRNA
About the family: Transfer RNA (tRNA) molecules are approximately 80 nucleotides in length. Their secondary structure includes four short double-helical elements and three loops (D, anti-codon, and T loops).
Source: RNAcentral
GCGGGUGUAGUUCAGUGGUAGAACGUCUCGUUGCCAACGAGAAGGUCGUGGGUUCAAGUCCCAUCGCCCGCUCCA